This 468-nucleotide ribosomal RNA is filed under the name uncultured bacterium. RNAcentral's name for it is "partial 16S ribosomal RNA". It matches the Rfam family "Bacterial small subunit ribosomal RNA", at positions 28 to 507 of the family's 1533-position model. The record is from RNAcentral.
GACGAACGCUGGCGGCGUGCUUAACACAUGCAAGUCGAACGGAAAGGCCCUGCUUUUGUGGGGUGCUCGAGUGGCGAACGGGUGAGUAACACGUGAGUGACCUGCCCUUGACUUUGGGGUAACUUCAGGAAACUGGGGCUAAUACCGGAUAGGAGCUCCUGCUGCAUGGUGGGGGUUGGAAAGUUUCGGCGGUUGGGGAUGGACUCGCGGCUUAUCAGCUUGUUGGUGGGGUAGUGGCUUACCAAGGCUUUGACGGGUAGCCGGCCUGAGAGGGUGACCGGCCACAUUGGGACUGAGAUACGGCCCAGACUCCUACGGGAGGCAGCAGUGGGGAAUAUUGCACAAUGGGCGGAAGCCUGAUGCAGCAACGCCGCGUGCGGGAUGACGGCCUUCGGGUUGUAAACCGCUUUCGCCUGUGACGAAGCGUGAGUGACGGUAAUGGGUAAAGAAGCACCGGCUAACUACGUG